CUGCUUCCUUUAGGAACUUCAAACGACUUGUUGGUAUUGAGGUUACCAGCUAAAGAAAGCAAAAAUAUGUCUGAAUGGCAAAGUUAUCAGCAUGAAAA
Molecule: long non-coding RNA, 98 nt
Organism: Nanorana parkeri
Lineage: Eukaryota; Metazoa; Chordata; Amphibia; Anura; Dicroglossidae
Exons: 4
Source: RefSeq, a predicted model, not a curated record